RNAcentral lists this small RNA (243 nucleotides) under Paenibacillus sp. cl6col. RNAcentral's name for it is "BsrG". The stretch from base 1 to 213 matches the Rfam family "BsrG", at positions 1 to 231 of the family's 259-position model. Rfam says of the family: bsrE, bsrG and bsrH pair through intermolecular interactions with antisense sRNAs. SR4 interaction with the 3'UTR of bsrG RNA promotes bsrG degradation and inhibits its translation. Lineage: Bacteria; Bacillati; Bacillota; Bacilli; Caryophanales; Paenibacillaceae. The record is from RNAcentral.
CACAAUAAUGGCUUAUGGGUGGUUGGCUAGUCUCCUGUAAAGGAGGUGAUGCCAGUGAGCGUAUUUGAAGCAUUGAGUCUAAUGUUCCUUUUCGGGAUGUUCAUUCUUGCUUUGCUCACCUACUUAAAGAAAAAGUAGACCGCCCUCUCACAAAGGUAUGCGGUCUACUUACGCACUUUUGAUAAGCCAACCGCUCAUCUAGCGGUUAUUGUGGGAUGAAGAUCACAGUUGGCGCUGUGGUCU